Molecule: non-coding RNA, 45 nt
Organism: Schistosoma mattheei
Lineage: Eukaryota; Metazoa; Platyhelminthes; Trematoda; Strigeidida; Schistosomatidae
Source: Rfam
AUCCAGCUGACGAGUCCCAAAUAGGACGAAACCUGAGUUCUGGAU